GUGUGCCCUGCGAUUGGCUGGCAAUCAGUUCAGGGUGUACCCUAUCUACUGCCCAAAGACAGCUGGGAUAGGCUUUAGAAAAUGGAUGAAUGGUUAACUGUCUACAUACCGAAUUGAAUAUCAUAAUGACAUUCACUGAAAUCACAAAUUUACAUACCAUACUGUCUUGCCGGAAUAAUAACACCUGUUGAAUAGACGUAGCAAGUCAGCGCUUCUUUUUUCGUCGCACAAAAAGUCAGGCACUGGGCUGCCUGCCUACAUUGGCUAAAAGCCCCUUUGAAAGAGAGCUGUAAUGAGCUCUCUCUUGACCAUGUUCCUCGAUUGUAUGUCAUUUUAAAUUCCUCUCUGGUCAAUGCGAUAAUGUUAUGGUGACGGAUAAACAAAGCUAAGGUCAGAUUCUCAAGAUAAUGUGUUGCACUAAAAGGUUAUUGAACUAAGUAAAGGUGUGUUAUUUUGCUCAGCUAUAAAAACUCAUUUUCCCUAGAUAACGGCAUGAUAAUAUCAUCCUGUAUUUAAAAAAAAUUAUGAACAUUACCAUGCGCAAACCAAAUUACUGUAUUUUUCGGAUUAUACAUCGCUCUGGAUUAUAAAUCGCAGCAGCCAAAAAAUGCAUAAUUAAGAAGGAAAAAACAUACAUAAAUCACACUGGAGUAUAAGUCACAUUUUUUGGGGAAAUUUACUUGAUAAAAUCCAACACCAAAAACAUACAUGUCAUCUUGAAAGGCAAUUUAAAAUAAAAAUAAAACUAGACAACUACAGGCUGAAUAAGUGGACGAUAUGCUAACGUUAAAUGAUGCUUAAACAACGAACUGUGAAUGUGACUGGUAUGUUCACGUAACAUAUUUUGAGUUAUUUACACAACUACAGCACAAAGACCAUGCUAACAAAUUUACCAAACCAUCAGCGUCACUCCAUAUCACGAAAUCCAAUUAAAUCUUCAUGCUCGGUGUCACUUUUAAACAACUCCGCCAACUCCAGAGGGAGAAGAUGCAGCGCUUCCUCUUCUACAUCGCUUACUUCAGAAUCAUCGUCAGUUGUUUUUCUCAGUUACCGCCAACGUGGAAAGUAUCAACACAGGCCGAGAGCACCCUCUUGCGGUUUAAUGUCAAAAUAACAUGUGACAUGUCCAAUGUGUCAACCAUUUCACACAUAAGUUGCUCCAGGGCAAACAUGAAAAAAACUGCGAUUUAUAAUCCGGAAAAUACGUUUGUAAAAACAAACUUAACCGUAUCAUGCACCCUGUAACCUGGCUACAUGAUAAGCUGUCCACUCGAGUAACCGCUGUCCCUGAAAGUGUUAAUUAUACAGUGGGUCCUUAGAGCAAUGUUUUCCAACCUCUAUUGAAGCA
Hippocampus zosterae (dwarf seahorse) is the source of this 1348-nucleotide long non-coding RNA. RefSeq lists it as uncharacterized. The record is from RefSeq and is a predicted model, not a curated record. The transcript has 2 exons. NCBI's taxonomy places the organism in Eukaryota, Metazoa, Chordata, Actinopteri, Syngnathiformes, Syngnathidae.